RNAcentral lists this unclassified non-coding RNA (352 nucleotides) under soil metagenome. Its description in RNAcentral is "partial contains 5.8S ribosomal RNA, internal transcribed spacer 2, and large subunit ribosomal RNA". The stretch from base 1 to 120 matches the Rfam family "5.8S ribosomal RNA", at positions 35 to 154 of the family's 154-position model. The record is from RNAcentral.
GAUGAAGAACGUAGCGAAAUGCGAUAAGUAAUGUGAAUUGCAGAAUUCAGUGUAUCAUCGAAUCUUUGAACGCACAUUGCGCCCGCCAGUAUUCUGGCGGGCAUGCCUGUUCGAGCGUCAUUACAACCCUCAGGCCCCCGGGCCUGGCGUUGGGGAUCGGCGGAGCCCCCCGUGGGCACACGCCGUCCCCCAAAUACAGUGGCGGUCCCGCCGCAGCUUCCAUCGCGUAGUAGCUAACACCUCGCGACUGGAGAGCGGCGCGGCCACGCCGUAAAACACCCAACUCUUCUGAAGUUGACCUCGAAUCAGGUAGGAAUACCCGCUGAACUUAAGCAUAUCAAUAAGCGGAGGA